UCCAGAUCACUGCAUUGUUCUGUCCAGGUGCCUGCGAAGAUCCCGACGUCGGUGAGGCCGAACGGAACAACGCGUUUAGUGAGC
This 84-nucleotide microRNA precursor is filed under the name Electrophorus electricus (electric eel). Its description in RNAcentral is "microRNA eel-mir-11058 precursor". The record is from miRBase by way of RNAcentral. Lineage: Eukaryota; Metazoa; Chordata; Actinopteri; Gymnotiformes; Gymnotidae.